Molecule: ribosomal RNA, 492 nt
Filed under: uncultured bacterium
Lineage: Bacteria
Description: partial 16S ribosomal RNA
Rfam family: Bacterial small subunit ribosomal RNA
Source: RNAcentral
AGUGAACGCUGGCGGUAGGCCUAACACAUGCAAGUCGAACGGCAGCACAGUAAGAGCUUGCUCUUACGGGUGGCGAGUGGCGGACGGGUGAGGAAUACAUCGGAAUCUACUUUUUCGUGGGGGAUAACGUAGGGAAGCUUACGCUAAUACCGCAUACGACCUACGGGUGAAAGCAGGAGAUCUUCGGACCUUGCGCGAUUGAAUUAGCCGAUGUCGGAUUAGCUAGUUGGCGGGGUAAAGGCCCACCAAGGCGACGAUCCGUAGCUGGUCUGAGAGGAUGAUCAGCCACACUGGAACUGAGACACGGUCCAGACUCCUACGGGAGGCAGCAGUGGGGAAUAUUGGACAAUGGGCGCAAGCCUGAUCCAGCCAUACCGCGUGGGUGAAGAAGGCCUUCGGGUUGUAAAGCCCUUUUGUUGGGAAAGAAAAGCAGCAGGUGAAUACCCCGCUGUUCUGACGGUACCCAAAGAAUAAGCACCGGCUAACUUCGUG